CGGCCCCCUGAGGGGACGGCGGCCGCCAUGUCGGAGCGGCUGGGCAAGCCGAGCUGCCUCAUCGUCGCCAGCGCUGCGGCCGCGGGUGUGUCAGCCCAGUCCUUCCUUCACUGCUUUACAUUGACGAGUUCUGCUUUUAAUCUGCAAGUUGCCACUCCUGGGGGAAAGCCAAUCGAUUUUGUGGAUGUGAACGAGACCAACAUGCGCUGGGUCCAGGACUUCCGUAUGAAAUCCUAUGCUAGCCCUGCCAAGCUGGAGUCCAUUGAUGGUGCUAGGUACCAUGCAUUGCUGAUUCCAAACUGUCCCGGGGCUAUGACUGACCUUGCAAACAGUGGGUACCUGGCGAAGAUACUGCAGCACUUCAGCACUGAGAACAAGCCCAUCUGUGCAGUUGGACAUGGAGUCGCAGCCUUGUGUUGUGCCACCAAUGAGGAUAAAUCCUGGGUGUUUCAAGGAUACAGCCUGACAGGGCCCUCUGUGUAUGAACUAGUCCGACAGCCCAAUUUUGCCAGUUUGUCCAUUAUUGUGGAAGACUUUGUGAAAGAUUCUGGAGCUACAUUCAGUGGUAUGGCACUCUCCUCUUGUCCAGGAUUACCUGUUUCAUGGCUGCGUUUGGGGAAUGAAUGUUUGUGUGCUGGUUUAACACAAGACUCUGACAGGACAUCUCAUCUUGCAUUCCCAUUUCAUGAUAGGAACAAAUAACCUCGUGGAUUAGAAAUGGUGAGUUGGACCUGCUUGAGAAAGCCAUGAGGAGGGCCACCAAGAUGCUGCGAGGGCUGGAGCAGCUCUGCCCUGGAGCCAGGCUGUGAGAGCUGAGCUGGUUCAGCCUGGAGAAGAGAAGGCUCCUGAAGGGGAGAGCUGAGAGCAGCUCCAGUGCCUAAAGGGGCUGCAGGAAAGCUGGAGAGGGGCUUGGGACAAGGGAUGUAGGGACAGGCCAAGGGGAAUGGCUUGAACCUGCCAGAGGGGAGACUGAGAUGAGCUCAUAGGAAGGAACCUUUGCUUUGAUGGUUUUAUCAUGGAAAAUCUGAUCUAUGCACUUUAUCCACCUGAUGUUAAUUGUAUCAAGGGACCAGUCCCGCUGUCCUUCCAUAGAAAGUCUUCCUGGUGAAAUCAUUUCAGCAUUUGGGCUUUAAGAUUGUCCCUGCCUGGGGUUAUAGAUCAGCAUGUCUGUCACCCAGCAAAUCUGGUCAAAAUAGUCCUCUUUUGUGUAAAUUCCAUGAGAGAUGUGAUACUGACACUGAAGUAGUGUCCACUAACAUGAUGCCUGUUGCUUUUCCUCCUGCAUUUAGCCAGCAGUCCGGAUGCUGUGCAUGUUGUACUGGACAGGCACCUGGUGACAGGACAGAAUGAGAAUUCCACUCUUCCCGCAGUCCAGAAUCUUCUCAUCCUUUGCAAUGUCAGGUGAAUGUGUGUUAGAAGUCCUUUCCUGGCUGUGGACUAACAGGUCGUGUCAUGUUUGGAUAUGUUUCCUUCAGCAGGAAAUGAAGGAGCAGGUCUCUUUGCAUAGGAUGGAUGAAGAGCCAGCAGGUUAAGGAAUUCCUUGUCUGUGAACUGGAUAAAACAUCCCUAUAAAAUUGUCCUGGACUGUGGAGUGGCUGUGACAGUGAAGUAACAGUGUCAGGCUUUGCAUAGAUGGAAAGGAUGAAGGUUGUGACUGAGAACUCUGAAAUGCAUCACACUCCAGAAGCAAUGACGAAACCAUCUUGUAUUUUUGUUGCUGUAUCUUUUUGUUUCACUGCUCUCUAGACCAGACAAUUUUCAGAUGUGGGAAUGUCCUUUUAAAGGGAAGUUGGUGCUAUGACUUCAGAUUGCUGAAGCUGAAGACCUUAUACUAGGCUGAUGUUAUACUGAUGGUUAGUAACUGCCCUGAAGAGCACUUGGAACAAUGUGAACCAUGUGGUGGUUUUGUUUCAAAUAGCAAAAUCUACACCCAGAGCUUGACUGGAAUGCAAUUCCGGAUGCAGGGAAUGAAGGGAACCUUUCAUUUGGUUACUGUCUGAACUCUGAAUGUGAUGGGCACUUGGAUGUGCUUGGAAUAGGAUGGAAAAUGCUCAGCUGCUCUCUGAAUAAAGCUAAAGAGGUUGUUUGCAGCAGCUCACGCUAUGGUGAUGCUGUUUGCAUAAUGAGCCCUUGUUUCUUUUGCCUGUUUAUAUUGUUGGACUUGUGUUUAAAAAGCUUGCUCAGCUGUUUCUAAAUGGUCUUCUGAUGGC
Molecule: RNA transcript, 2210 nt
Organism: Melopsittacus undulatus (budgerigar)
Lineage: Eukaryota; Metazoa; Chordata; Aves; Psittaciformes; Psittaculidae
Gene: GATD1
Gene name: glutamine amidotransferase class 1 domain containing 1
Exons: 7
Source: RefSeq, a predicted model, not a curated record